ACGUCGGUAGCUUACUUGGUUUUAGCAACAGGGCGUAAACCUGAGAGACCUGGGUUCGUAUCCCAGACGAGGUU
Molecule: non-coding RNA, 74 nt
Organism: Henosepilachna vigintioctopunctata
Lineage: Eukaryota; Metazoa; Arthropoda; Insecta; Coleoptera; Coccinellidae
Source: the annotation of a GenBank genome assembly